RNAcentral lists this ribosomal RNA (1040 nucleotides) under Bacillus sp. (in: firmicutes). RNAcentral's name for it is "bacterial SSU rRNA". It matches the Rfam family "Bacterial small subunit ribosomal RNA", at positions 21 to 1045 of the family's 1533-position model. Lineage: Bacteria; Bacillati; Bacillota; Bacilli; Caryophanales; Bacillaceae. The record is from RNAcentral.
CUGUCAGACGACGCGGGCGGCGUGCCUAAUACAUGCAAGUCGAGCGGACAGAAGGGAGCUUGCUCCCGGAUGUUAGCGGCGGACGGGUGAGUAACACGUGGGUAACCUGCCUGUAAGACUGGGAUAACUCCGGGAAACCGGAGCUAAUACCGGAUAGUUCCUUGAACCGCAUGGUUCAAGGAUGAAAGACGGUUUCGGCUGUCACUUACAGAUGGACCCGCGGCGCAUUAGCUAGUUGGUGGGGUAAUGGCUCACCAAGGCGACGAUGCGUAGCCGACCUGAGAGGGUGAUCGGCCACACUGGGACUGAGACACGGCCCAGACUCCUACGGGAGGCAGCAGUAGGGAAUCUUCCGCAAUGGACGAAAGUCUGACGGAGCAACGCCGCGUGAGUGAUGAAGGUUUUCGGAUCGUAAAGCUCUGUUGUUAGGGAAGAACAAGUGCGAGAGUAACUGCUCGCACCUUGACGGUACCUAACCAGAAAGCCACGGCUAACUACGUGCCAGCAGCCGCGGUAAUACGUAGGUGGCAAGCGUUGUCCGGAAUUAUUGGGCGUAAAGGGCUCGCAGGCGGUUUCUUAAGUCUGAUGUGAAAGCCCCCGGCUCAACCGGGGAGGGUCAUUGGAAACUGGGAAACUUGAGUGCAGAAGAGGAGAGUGGAAUUCCACGUGUAGCGGUGAAAUGCGUAGAGAUGUGGAGGAACACCAGUGGCGAAGGCGACUCUCUGGUCUGUAACUGACGCUGAGGAGCGAAAGCGUGGGGAGCGAACAGGAUUAGAUACCCUGGUAGUCCACGCCGUAAACGAUGAGUGCUAAGUGUUAGGGGGUUUCCGCCCCUUAGUGCUGCAGCUAACGCAUUAAGCACUCCGCCUGGGGAGUACGGUCGCAAGACUGAAACUCAAAGGAAUUGACGGGGGCCCGCACAAGCGGUGGAGCAUGUGGUUUAAUUCGAAGCAACGCGAAGAACCUUACCAGGUCUUGACAUCCUCUGACAACCCUAGAGAUAGGGCUUUCCCUUCGGGGACAGAGUGACAGGUGGUGCA